GUGUGUGCAUGGGUUGGCGGGGUGGCUGGGAGCUGAGGCCAGAGAACUGCUCCCCAGUCGACCGGCAGGGGCCCUGCAGCGGCUGCUGCGCGGCGCAGGGGGUGGUGGUGAGAGGGCAGGGUGAAGCGGUGGGGAGGUGGGCCUGGGGGAAGGAAGGGGACAGCGUGAGCGAGCAGAGCAGUCCAGGCCCAGGAGGAAGCUGCUCCUCCUCUGAGCACUCCGAUGCCCUCCUCUCCCUCCUUCCCGGUUUUUUGGGUCGGCCCCUUGGUUUCCUUCCUGGAGUUGUGGUGGGUUUCCGGGUGUCAGCAGCGCCCCUGAUUUUGUUGCCCUUUGGUGGCCCCGGGUCUCCCAGGUGUUGGCCGGGCUCCUACGGAGGCUGCCUGCGGCCUGCCCUGCCCCCACUGCUCAGUGUAGUCCUUUUCCUGGUUGGAGGCCCACGGCCGGCUAGAUUUCGACCUGGACCCUCUCAUCUGCCCUUCUCCACCGAGCAGGUGGAAGAGUGGUGGCGGGAAUGCGCCAGCUCUGACCUCCCUGCGGUGCGCGCUGCGGGGCUGGGAGCAACUGUGCUGGGUUCUGAGGCCCAUGCGGGUGCCUUCUUGGAGCCGCGCCAGCACCAGAAAUCGCCCGGGCUCGGAGUCCCAAUUAGAGGCGAUGGUAUCGUUUUACAUUCCUAGCAUCAGUGUACGAGGCCCAGUUCCUCCACAUCCUCGCCAACACGUGGUAUGGUCAGUCUUUUACAUUUUAAUUAUUUUAAUAGGUAUGUAGUGGUAUCAUUGAGAUUUUAAUUUGCAUUUCCCUAAUAACCAUUUACCGUUUGUAAA
This 821-nucleotide long non-coding RNA is filed under the name Homo sapiens (human). RNAcentral describes it as "ZNF503 antisense RNA 1". Lineage: Eukaryota; Metazoa; Chordata; Mammalia; Primates; Hominidae. The record is from RNAcentral.